This is a small nuclear RNA of Styela clava, 136 nucleotides long. RefSeq annotates it as U4 spliceosomal RNA. The record is from RefSeq and is a predicted model, not a curated record. Lineage: Eukaryota; Metazoa; Chordata; Ascidiacea; Stolidobranchia; Styelidae.
GGCUUUGCGUAGUGGCAGUAUUGUAUCCAAUAAAGUUUAUCCGAGUGCGAUUAUUGCUAGUUGAAAACUAUUAUCAAUACCCCGCCCUGGUGAGCGAGACGUCACUCGUGGCAAUUUCUGUAGGGUUCUGCAGAAU